Molecule: long non-coding RNA, 2768 nt
Organism: Fukomys damarensis (Damara mole-rat)
Lineage: Eukaryota; Metazoa; Chordata; Mammalia; Rodentia; Bathyergidae
Source: Ensembl
ACUUCACCCAUGGUGCUAAAAAUCAGAAGUAUGAAGUUAGACCACAUUACCUCUUUUAGUUACGCCCAUCCUUAUCCUCUGUGCAUGGGUUCUUAGGCUUGGAGCCAACUAAAACUGCAGCAGGUAUUUCCAAUUUAAAGAAUUAACAAACAAAAUGUUCCUGUGAGGCUAAGAGUUUAGUGUGGUUCUAGGAACUAAGAAAGGCCAAAGUUACUUGGGAUUUGUGGAGAAAGGGCCCAAAGUCAUGUGUUGUGGCUGACAAAUUAGGCAGGGGCCACAUAACGAAGCUCUUGAAAGACAUUGAGAGAUGAGAUUUUUAUUCCAGCUGUAUGGCUAGAAACCCCUUUUUUUUUUUUUUUGUACUGGGGUUUGAACCCAGGGCUUCAAAUAUGCUAACCAAAUGCUCUGCCACUGAGCUGCAUUCUCAGCCCUCACCUGAAACUUCUGAGUAAGGGAGACUCGAUCUGAUGUAAAGGACAUACCUGGCCAUGGUGACAAGAACAGAAUGUGAGGGAAAAAUGUAGAAGAAAGAAGACCUAUUGAGAAAGAUGGCAGUGAUCCAGGAAAGAGAUGUCCACAGCCUGGAUCAGGGUGGUAUCAAGAAGGACAGUGAGGAGGCCCCAGAUCGUGCAUAUGUUUUGAAAUAUUUUAAAUAUCUAUGACAGAUUUUAUGAAGGAUCAGAUAGGGAAAGGAGAGAAGGAGAAAGUGAAGAAUGAUUCCAAUCUGUUUGUUUGUUUUAGUGUUACUGAGGAUUGAAUGCAGGCCCUUGUAUAUUCCAGGCAACUUCUCUGUCACAGAGCUAUACCCCCAGCCCAGUCUCCAGAUUGUUACCCUGAGCAAUUUAGUAAACAAUAAUGUCAUUGACAAAGAAGGGAUAUGCUGGAGGAAGAGAAAAUGUGAUGGGAAUCAAGAGUUCAGGUCCCAUCCAUCAAAGUUGAAAUCGGGCUUGAGGCAGAGGAAAUAUCAUGGCAUUGUGGAUGAUUUCACUUGCUGCUCCAUUCAGUGCACUUCCCAAGCCCGGCAGAGAGAUAGAUGUGAAGCUGACAUUCUUCUGGGGCCACACUCACAGAGAAGUACUUCUGCACUUAUGAGCACAUUGGAGAGUUUUUCUAAGAUGACUUAAUGACAUGUAAUAUUUGCUUUGUUUGGUGAUCUUGUCAUCAAGUAUUAGGUUAGAUGUGAUCCACCCUGAAAUGGAAUGGGGUGAAAGCUGCCCAGCCUUAACUCCAACCUUUACACCGGAAGUGCAUGUGGAACAUUCUUGGGAGGAUCUGGGAGAUCACCUUCAUGUCCACCCACCCAGGCCAGCAGUUCGUCAUCGCUGACCUCUGUGUGAAGGAAGUGGAAUAUUCCUCAUCCUUCGCAUAAACUUCCUGCUUGUACAGCAAGUGGAGUACCCCUGAUCUGAGGAGUUUUGGAUUUCAGAUAUUUUUUUUCACACUUUUGUACUUUUGCACAGACAUAAUGAGGUAUUUUGGUGAUGGGACCCAAGCUUAAAUAUAAAACUCUUUUCUGUUACGUAUGUACCUUAGUCACAUAGCUUGAGCAUAAUUUCCAGCAAUAUUAUAAUUAAUUUUAUGCAUCAAAGCAAGUUGCAUGGUAUGGGAUUUUUUUCACUUGGGUCAUCACGUCAAAAGAUUUGGAUUUUGGAACAGUUUGAAUUUUGGAUUGUUGUAUUUGUAUUGUAUUCCACAGACAUUCUCUGGGUCCCUAACACAAUCAGAACAUCUAUGACUGUGGUGACUUUUUAUAUAUAAAAUAUUCUGUCAGAACUCAGCCCUGACCCAGUGUUUCUAUUAAGAUGACUAUAUAGUUCAUGACAGUACUGUUUUUUUUGGGGGGGUGAUUAUUUUUAUCUAUUUAUUUGCUGAAUUUGUUGUACUUUUAAUUUUAUUAGAAAUGUGAUGGACAAAAAUUGGUAAUUUCUAAUUUUAGCAGCUGAGCUAACCCCCUUUUUUAUGUUCCGGGGAAAAAAAAUAGGUCACCAUUUAAAUUUGUGAUACCGGACAAACGCACACUGGUUUUCUUGUUGGCAGGGUGAACUGCUGAGUCACAGUUUCACAGCAGAUAAAGCUGGCUAUUGUCCUUCCCCUUUACACCACAGAUCCAUAUUAAGGGCCAAACAAGCUUCUAGGAGGAAGAGAAUGAGAGCGUUGCCUCCCUAAGUUGGCAAAGUUGGCAGAGGAUAUCUGUUGUCCCAACAUUGCCCUCAAUGAGACCAACAGAUGAGACAGAGGCCCGCAAAAGAGUUGGAUUUAGGCUCAGUAUCAUUAAAAGCAGGAUGAACGGACCAAUGGCACUCUCUGGGGAAAACACCUGUGGCUGAGUGUAAAGUAGUACAAUUAUGUCUUAGAUUUGGGGCCUGGCUUGGUGUGGGGUAACCCUAAAUGAGACUCGGCCUCAGAGAAGAGGAGCAUCCUCCAUAGCCUUCGUGCAGUAGUGAAGUCAGGUACACUACAGGGCCUGGGGACCUCUCCAAGGCCCCUGUCUGGGGACUUGGGAACAACACAGUGGCAACAGCUGUAUAAAAAGGGUUUUGCUCUAGAGACUUUGCCAAAUAAUCCAGAUCCCUCUCUUGCUGAUUUGCCCUUCAAUAGGAAAGCAAUGGUUACACGCCCCAGGGGAUUAGCAUCCCAUGAAUUAGACACCAGGAAAAAGGAGACCUUAUUUUGCACUGCAAGUUGGUGGAGUGGAUCCUAUCUUGGUCAGAACUUUUAUGUGACAUUUGGAGUUUGAUGGUGGAGAAAACCUCCUGGUGAACCCAAAG